This 537-nucleotide long non-coding RNA is filed under the name Mytilus galloprovincialis (Mediterranean mussel). The record is from RNAcentral. Lineage: Eukaryota; Metazoa; Mollusca; Bivalvia; Mytilida; Mytilidae.
AAAAAAAAUAAGAUAAAAAAAAAUGCAAAAAUAGAGAAAAUUGUAAAAUUGAGAAAAUUAUGCUUUGGCAAACCAAAAUGGUAUUACAUCGAUUAAGUUGCAAAAUACCAUAAACUUUUGCAUCUUUAUUGUAUUUAUCAUGUUUAAGUGAUAGUUUUUGAUGAAAAAAAUUAAAGAAAAAAAGUUGCAGUCUCAUCACCACUUUGUUCAUUUGGUUGCCAUAGCAACCAUAAAAUGUACACUAUUAUUUUGUACAAAUUUUCACCAUGAAAGUACUUAGUUGGAAAAUGCAAGAAAAUUUUCAUUGAAUUGGCAUGUAGAUCAUAAGUCAAUGCCACAGAUACCUACAAUACAAUUUUUGGCUGUACUUUGACCUUUGACUUCAAAGUAAAAAGAUGAUUUUUGUUUACACUUUUGUGUAGGGAGCAUGAUUUGUUUGCCCUGUGACAAAAUCUUUUGAUAUUUGGCACAUGUGUGCAGCACCUCAAGAUAAUGUGUAGUGUUCCAUGGACCAUCAUCCCCAAAUUUAUCCCAACC